AUGGACUCUGAAGCUGUUCAUGAGCUUCCUCCACCAAUUAGACCGAUGCUAUGGAGUUCUAGCGACGCAUUAUACAAGGAGCUAUGGCAUGCUUGGGCUAGGCCGUUGAUCACAGUGCCUCGCCAAGGUGAAAGGAUUUACUACUUUCCGCAUGUUUAUAUUGGAACAGGAGAAGGAGAUGUAGUCUACAGGAGAGAAGCAACCAUCAAUGGUGUUAAUGUCACCUCUCCAUAG
RNAcentral lists this ribosomal RNA (234 nucleotides) under Triticum aestivum (bread wheat). RNAcentral describes it as "partial small subunit ribosomal RNA". The record is from RNAcentral. Lineage: Eukaryota; Viridiplantae; Streptophyta; Magnoliopsida; Poales; Poaceae.